This 390-nucleotide ribosomal RNA is filed under the name Bacillus sp. Y-D. RNAcentral's name for it is "bacterial SSU rRNA". It matches the Rfam family "Bacterial small subunit ribosomal RNA", at positions 1004 to 1394 of the family's 1533-position model. Lineage: Bacteria; Bacillati; Bacillota; Bacilli; Caryophanales; Bacillaceae. The record is from RNAcentral.
AGUAGGACGUUCCCCUUCGGGGGACAGAGUGACAGGUGGUGCAUGGUUGUCGUCAGCUCGUGUCGUGAGAUGUUGGGUUAAGUCCCGCAACGAGCGCAACCCUUGAUCUUAUUUGCCAGCAUUUAGUUGGGCACUCUAAGGUGACUGCCGGUGACAAACCGGAGGAAGGUGGGGAUGACGUCAAAUCAUCAUGCCCCUUAUGACCUGGGCUACACACGUGCUACAAUGGGUGGUACAAAGGGCAGCAAAACCGCGAGGUCGAGCCAAUCCCAUAAAACCACUCUCAGUUCGGAUUGUAGGCUGCAACUCGCCUACAUGAAGCUGGAAUCGCUAGUAAUCGCGGAUCAGCAUGCCGCGGUGAAUACGUUCCCGGGUCUUGUACACACCAAA